This is a non-coding RNA of Hymenopellis radicata, 99 nucleotides long. Lineage: Eukaryota; Fungi; Basidiomycota; Agaricomycetes; Agaricales; Physalacriaceae. The record is from the annotation of a GenBank genome assembly.
GCACACUUAGCUCAGUGGAUCAGAGCACCCCACGAAAGUGAUUACGCCUUUGUCACCUUCUUUCCGGGGAGGCGCCGGGUUCGAGUCCCUCAAUGUGUA